RNAcentral lists this ribosomal RNA (1376 nucleotides) under uncultured bacterium. RNAcentral describes it as "bacterial SSU rRNA". It matches the Rfam family "Bacterial small subunit ribosomal RNA", at positions 29 to 1395 of the family's 1533-position model. The record is from RNAcentral.
UUGAACGCUGGCGGUAUGCUUAACACAUGCAAGUCGAACGGAAACGAUACUAGCUUGCUAGUAGGCGUCGAGUGGCGGACGGGUGAGUAACGCGUAGGAAUCUGCCUGAUAGUGGGGGAUAGCCCGAAGAAAUUCGGAUUAAUACCGCAUAAUCUAUUCGUAGUAAAGUGGGGGACUUUCGAGCCUCACGCUAUCAGAUGAGCCUGCGUAAGAUUAGCUUGUUGGUAGGGUAAAAGCCUACCAAGGCGACGAUCUUUAGCUGGUCUGAGAGGAUGAUCAGCCACAUCGGGACUGAGACACGGCCCGAACUCCUACGGGAGGCAGCAGUGGGGAAUAUUGGACAAUGGGGGCAACCCUGAUCCAGCAAUACCGCGUGUGUGAAGAAGGCCUGAGGGUUGUAAAGCACUUUCAAUUGUGAAGAAAAGUUAGCGGUUAAUAACCGUUAGCCUUGACGUUAACUUUAGAAGAAGCACCGGCUAACUCCGUGCCAGCAGCCGCGGUAAUACGGGAGGGUGCAAGCGUUAAUCGGAAUUACUUGGGCGUAAAGCGUGCGUAGGCGGUUUAUUAAGUCAGAUGUGAAAGCCCCGGGCUUAACUGGGAACUGCAUUUGAAACUGGUCAACUAGAGUAUGGUAGAGGAAAGUGGAAUUUCUGGUGUAGCGGUGAAAUGCGUAGAUAUCAGAAGGAACAUCAAUGGCGAAGGCAGCUUUCUGGACCAAUACUGACGCUGAGGUACGAAAGCGUGGGUAGCAAACAGGAUUAGAUACCCUGGUAGUCCACGCCGUAAACGAUGAUAACUAGCCGUUGGGGGGAUUUACCCUUUAGUGGCGAAGCUAACGCGUUAAGUUAUCCGCCUGGGGAGUACGGCCGCAAGGUUAAAACUCAAAGGAAUUGACGGGGACCCGCACAAGCGGUGGAGCAUGUGGUUUAAUUCGAUGCAACGCGAAGAACCUUACCUGGUCUUGACAUCCUGCGAACUUUCUAGAAAUAGAUUGGUGCCUUCGGGAACGCAGUGACAGGUGCUGCAUGGCUGUCGUCAGCUCGUGUCGUGAGAUGUUGGGUUAAGUCCCGUAACGAGCGCAACCCCUAUCCUUAUUUGCCAGCACAUCAUGGUGGGAACUAUAAGGAGACUGCCGGUGAUAAACCGGAGGAAGGCGGGGACGACGUCAAGUCAUCAUGGCCCUUACGACCAGGGCUACACACGUGCUACAAUGGGAAGGACAAAGAGCCGCGAAGCCGCGAGGUGUAGCUAAUCUCAUAAACCUUUUCGUAGUCCGGAUUGGAGUCUGCAACUCGACUCCAUGAAGUCGGAAUCGCUAGUAAUCGUAGAUCAGAAUGCUACGGUGAAUACGUUCCCGGGUCUUGUACACACCGCCC